CCCUUUGUGAACCAAACUUGUUGCUUCGGGGGCGACCCUGCCGACGACUUCGUCGCCGGGCGCCCCCGGAGGUCUCCUAAACACUGCAUCUUUGCGUCGGAGUUUAAACAAAUUAAACAAAACUUUCAACAACGGAUCUCUUGGUUCUGGCAUCGAUGAAGAACGCAGCGAAAUGCGAUAAGUAAUGUGAAUUGCAGAAUUCAGUGAAUCAUCGAAUCUUUGAACGCACAUUGCGCCCUUUGGUAUUCCGAAGGGCAUGCCUGUUCGAGCGUCAUUUCACCACUCAAGCCUGGCUUGGUAUUGGGCGUCGCGGUGUUCCGCGCGCCUUAAAGUCUUCCGGCUGAGCUGUCCGUCUCUAAGCGUUGUGGAUUUUUCAAUUCGCUUCGGAGUGCGGGUGGCCGCGGCCGUUAAAUCUUUAUUCAAAGGUUGACCUCGGAUCAGGUAGGGAUA
This 450-nucleotide ribosomal RNA is filed under the name Pseudocercospora lindericola. RNAcentral describes it as "eukaryotic LSU rRNA". The stretch from base 121 to 274 matches the Rfam family "5.8S ribosomal RNA". The record is from RNAcentral. Lineage: Eukaryota; Fungi; Ascomycota; Dothideomycetes; Mycosphaerellales; Mycosphaerellaceae.